Molecule: non-coding RNA, 246 nt
Organism: Vicia faba (fava bean)
Lineage: Eukaryota; Viridiplantae; Streptophyta; Magnoliopsida; Fabales; Fabaceae
Source: the annotation of a GenBank genome assembly
AUGAAUAGAGAAAGAAACAUUGAAACCGAGGUGGAGAUUUCAUAUUGCAAAAAUCGAAAUCUCAUAUUCAAGAAUGAAUCAGAUGUCACUGAUCAAUCAAAGGGUGAAGUUGUGAAAUUUGCCUCGAGACGGAUUGUAAGAUUUUCACAAUUCCAUUUUGUUAAUUCUUAUAAUUAUAAUUAUAACCAUAAUUUGAUUUUGAUUUCGAUUCAAACCCAGAAUUUCCUGGUUUGGAGUUUAUUCUGA